RNAcentral lists this ribosomal RNA (261 nucleotides) under uncultured bacterium. Its description in RNAcentral is "partial 16S ribosomal RNA". It matches the Rfam family "Bacterial small subunit ribosomal RNA", at positions 92 to 354 of the family's 1533-position model. The record is from RNAcentral.
CGACCGGCGCACGGGUGCGUAACGCGUAUGCAACCUACCUUUUACAGGGGCAUAACACUGAGAAAUUGGUACUAAUACCCCAUAACAUCACCGGAGGCAUCUUCGGUGGUUGAAAACUCAGGUGGUCAGAGAUGGACAUGCGUUGUAUUAGCUAGUUGGUGAGGUAACGGCUCACCAAGGCGACGAUACAUAGGGGGACUGAGAGGUCAACCCCCCACAUUGGUACUGAGACACGGACCAAACUCCUACGGAAGGCAGCAG